RNAcentral lists this ribosomal RNA (197 nucleotides) under uncultured bacterium. RNAcentral describes it as "partial 16S ribosomal RNA". It matches the Rfam family "Bacterial small subunit ribosomal RNA", at positions 328 to 539 of the family's 1533-position model. The record is from RNAcentral.
ACGCUCGACACCUACGGGAGGCAGCAGUGGGAAUAUUGCACAAUGGGGAAACCCUGAUGCAGCGACGCCGCGUGGAGGAAGAAGGUCUUCGGAUUGUAAACUCCUGUUGUUAGGGGAAAAAGAGGAUGGUACCCAACAAGGAAGUGACGGCUAACUACGUGCCAACAGCCGCGGUAAUCUGAGCGGGCUGGCAAGGC